This 636-nucleotide ribosomal RNA is filed under the name uncultured bacterium. RNAcentral's name for it is "bacterial SSU rRNA". It matches the Rfam family "Bacterial small subunit ribosomal RNA", at positions 202 to 842 of the family's 1533-position model. The record is from RNAcentral.
UAAAGAAUUUCGGUCAUCGAUGGGGAUGCGUUCCAUUAGCUUGUUGGCGGGGUAACGGCCCACCAAGGCAUCGAUGGAUAGGGGUUCUGAGAGGAAGGUCCCCCACAUUGGAACUGAGACACGGUCCAAACUCCUACGGGAGGCAGCAGUGAGGAAUAUUGGUCAAUGGGCGCUAGCCUGAACCAGCCAAGUAGCGUGAAGGAUGACUGCCCUAUGGGUUGUAAACUUCUUUUAUAUGGGAAUAAAGUACAGUAUGUAUACUGCUUUGCAUGUACCUUAUGAAUAAGGAUCGGCUAACUCCGUGCCAGCAGCCGCGGUAAUACGGAGGAUCCGAGCGUUAUCCGGAUUUAUUGGGUUUAAAGGGAGCGUAGGCGGGUUGUUAAGUCAGUUGUGAAAGUUUGCGGCUCAACCGUAAAAUUGCAGUUGAUACUGGCAUCCUUGAGUACAGUAGAGGUAGGCGGAAUUCGUGGUGUAGCGGUGAAAUGCUUAGAUAUCACGAAGAACUCCGAUUGCGAAGGCAGCCUGCUGGACUGUAACUGACGCUGAUGCUCGAAAGUGUGGGUAUCAAACAGGAUUAGAUACCCUGGUAGUCCACACAGUAAACGAUGAAUACUCGCUGUUUGCGAUAUACAGUAA